This 245-nucleotide ribosomal RNA is filed under the name uncultured bacterium. Its description in RNAcentral is "partial 16S ribosomal RNA". It matches the Rfam family "Bacterial small subunit ribosomal RNA", at positions 528 to 772 of the family's 1533-position model. The record is from RNAcentral.
UAGGUGGCGAGCGUUAUCCGGAAUUACUGGGUGUAAAGGGAGCGCAGGCGGGACAGCAAGUUGGAUGUGAAAUACCGCAGCUCAACUGCGGAGCUACAUCCAAAACUGUAGUUCUUGAGUGAAGUAGAGGUAGGCGGAAUUCCGAGUGUAGCGGUGAAAUGCGUAGAUAUUCGGAGGAACACCGGUGGCGAAGGCGGCCUACUGGGCUUUUACUGACGCUGAGGCUCGAAAGUGUGGGGAGCAAA